Molecule: ribosomal RNA, 410 nt
Filed under: Acidobacteriota bacterium
Lineage: Bacteria; Pseudomonadati; Acidobacteriota
Description: Acidobacteria bacterium partial 16S ribosomal RNA
Rfam family: Bacterial small subunit ribosomal RNA
Source: RNAcentral
UCGAGAAUCAUUCACAAUGGGGGAAACCCUGAUGGUGCGACGCCGCGUGGGGGAAUGAAGGUCUUCGGAUUGUAAACCCCUGCCAUGUGGGAGCAAAUUAAAAAGAUAGUACCACAAGAGGAAGAGACGGCUAACUCUGUGCCAGCAGCCGCGGUAAUACAGAGGUCUCAAGCGUUGUUCGGAAUCACUGGGCGUAAAGCGUGCGUAGGCGGUUUCGUAAGUCGUGUGUGAAAGGCGGGGGCUCAACCCCCGGACUGCACAUGAUACUGCGAGACUAGAGUAAUGGAGGGGGAACCGGAAUUCUCGGUGUAGCAGUGAAAUGCGUAGAUAUCGAGAGGAACACUCGUGGCGAAGGCGGGUUCCUGGACAUUAACUGACGCUGAGGCACGAAGGCCAGGGGAGCGAAAGGG